Molecule: RNA transcript, 3476 nt
Organism: Alexandromys fortis (reed vole)
Lineage: Eukaryota; Metazoa; Chordata; Mammalia; Rodentia; Cricetidae
Gene: Srsf1
Gene name: serine and arginine rich splicing factor 1
Exons: 5
Source: RefSeq, a predicted model, not a curated record
CAUAUCAGUGCGCCGAGCUGAUAAAGGCGCCAUUUUGGACGGGGCCGCGGGAGACGUGGUGCCGCUCAGGGCUCGCUCUGCCGUACGCUAGGCUUGGUGGGAAGGCCUCUUCUCGAGUCCGCGCUUUUCGUCGCCGCCAUGUCAGGAGGUGGUGUGAUUCGUGGCCCGGCGGGGAACAACGACUGCCGCAUCUACGUGGGUAACCUACCUCCAGACAUCCGAACCAAGGACAUUGAGGACGUGUUUUACAAAUACGGCGCCAUCCGCGACAUCGACCUGAAGAACCGCCGCGGGGGACCGCCCUUCGCCUUCGUUGAGUUCGAGGACCCGCGAGACGCGGAAGAUGCGGUGUACGGGCGCGACGGCUACGAUUACGACGGCUACCGUCUGCGGGUAGAGUUCCCUCGAAGCGGCCGCGGGACCGGCCGAGGCGGCGGCGGGGGUGGAGGCGGCGGAGCUCCGAGAGGCCGCUAUGGCCCGCCAUCCAGGCGCUCGGAGAACAGAGUGGUUGUCUCUGGACUGCCUCCGAGUGGAAGCUGGCAGGACUUAAAGGAUCACAUGCGUGAAGCAGGUGAUGUAUGUUAUGCUGAUGUUUACCGAGAUGGCACUGGUGUCGUGGAGUUUGUACGGAAAGAAGAUAUGACGUAUGCAGUUCGAAAACUGGAUAACACUAAGUUUAGAUCUCAUGAGGGAGAAACUGCCUACAUCCGGGUUAAAGUUGAUGGGCCCAGAAGUCCAAGUUAUGGAAGAUCUCGAUCUCGAAGCCGUAGUCGUAGCAGAAGCCGUAGCAGAAGCAACAGCAGGAGUCGCAGUUACUCCCCAAGGAGAAGCAGAGGAUCACCACGCUAUUCUCCCCGUCAUAGCAGAUCUCGCUCUCGUACAUAGAUGAUUGGUGACACUUUUUGUAGAACCCAUGUUGUAUACAGUUUUCCUUUACUCAGUACAAUCUUUUCAUUUUUUUAAUUCAAACUGUUUUGUUCAGAAUGGGCUAAAGUGUUGAAUUGCAUUCUUAUGUAAUACCCCCUUGCUCCUAACAUCUACAUUCCCCUCAUGUCUUGGUAAAUUGUAUUUUAAGUGAUGUCAUAGACAGGAUUGUUUAAAUUUAGUUAAUUUCCAUGCUCUUCAGACUGUGAUAUUGUGUAAAUGUCUAUUCUGCUCUGGUUUGUGUGAAAUGGGAUGUUGGGGGUGUUUGUGGUUAUCUUACUUGGGGAAGUUCUUAUGUUUAUCUUGCUUUUCAUGUGUCUUUCUGUAGACAUAUCUGAAGAGAUGGAUUAAGAAUGCUUUGGAUUAAGGAUUGUGGAGCACAUUUCAAUCAUUUUAGGAUUGUCAAAAGGAGGAUUGAGGAGGAUCAGAUCAAUAAUGGAGGCAAUGGUAUGACUCCAAGUGCUAUUGUCACAGAUGAAAUUGGCAGUAUUGACCUUAUACUAAAAGACAAGGGUUAAAAUUUUUAUCAGCAUCUUAUGCGGUUAUUUCUAGCUACAAUUGCUUUGCUUUUUAAACCUUGGCAAUUGUGGCAAAAUUGCCCAUUUUGUAACAAUUAUUUGCUCCCUUCCCCCCUUUUUGUUUUAAUAGGGACUAAUGUGGGAAGAAUGGCUAAUUUGUCAGUGCUUAGUUACAACUGUUAAUGUGUGACCUGCUGUUGGUGUACAUGUGGGUACAGGGUGUCUAUUUCCAAACAGAGUAUAAUAUCAAUACUGCUAAAUCUGCAUGUCCUCUGUGUGACUGAUAGAGCGUUAUUAUUUCAUUUUUUAAAGACAAAAUGACAGCAGAAUAUAGAAUUCCAACGUAUUAGUGUAGAUAAUCUAGUUGGGAGUACUUUAAGUCUCGCCUUCCCUUUUACUAUUCAUAAUUGACUCGUGUUUAAAACACUUUAAUUUACAAGCUAAAUUGCAGACGGGAGCAAUAGAUUUAGUUUAGUCUUAGGUGGGUAGCAAUACCAGUAAACUUCAAUUACAUAACUUUGCAACCACAAAACGUGAUACCUGUACAGUAACAAGUGUUGGCAUUAUCAGUUGAAGUGUAAAUAUAAAGUGCUUCUUCCAGUUAGUCUCUGUAAUGAUUAAGUUUCUAAAAUUUAUCUAAACACCAUACAGAAACUUGUUUUGGGGAAUUUGAUAGUUAUUGAUGUACAUCUGUUAAACUGAUGACAGACAUAACUCAUCAUUCCCCAGAAACCUUUUUUGAUUACAGUAUCUAACAUUUUGCCUCCUCUUUUUUGGUUUUGCUGGUUAUAAAGGUUUGGAUUGGAGAGGGCUCACUGGAUCCCAAUCCUUGGAGCUGGAUCAUUGGAUUCAAAUCAUAAUGUGGAUAGGAUAGGGAGGAUGAAUUACCAGGAUUCAUGGAGCGGGAUCAGAUUACCAGGAACAUAGGAGUGGAUUCCUUCCUGCCCCAACCAAACCGCAUUCGUGUGGAUUUUUUUUUCAUUCAACUUAAUUGGCUAUUCCAAAGAGUUUUUUUCCUAUUUUUGACGAUUGGAGCCCUUAAGAUGCACGAUGGAAUUGUGUUUUGCAUUUUUUGGUAAAAGGAGCAAAGCGAGGACCUGGAGAUAAACGCUGGAGCAAUCUCCUUGGAAGGAUUCAGCACGAGUAGAUGGAUAUUGUAGGGACCCUAUGAUUAGUUUUUCUAACCAAGAAAGCACUUAAAUCUCUUUAAGCAAGUACUUUGCAUAACAUCUGGUUGAAUAACCCAGCUUGCUGUUCAGCUCAUCCUACUGGAGACAAAGGUAAGACAUUUUGAUACCUAGUUUGGGGUCUAAAUUUUAACAACUAAAGUUUGGAAUGAAUAAUUUUCUCUUGGAAUGGUCCCCCCUCCCAGCUUUUUAGUAAUUUUGAAUGUUUAUAUAUCCGCCCAUCUUAAUUCUGGAGUUGAAUGUGAUAAAUUCUAAGAUCAGCUUUUCUUAGUUUUGUCUAUGAACAUGGUUUUGUAGGGUUGGUGUUAUUUUCAGCUUCCUGUGGUCGAGGUCAAUUCUUGGUGUUUGCCUUUUUGCUUUGUAUAUGAAACUUGUAGUUAAAUUUACAAAUGAAAUAAAAUAUAUUUAGUAUUAAAAGGAGAGAAAGUAUUAGACUGAGUUCUGUUGUAACCAGUUUUGGCUUAUUUCUAUCAUGAUUUGAAGAUCGAUUGACAAUCUACAAUUUUGAAAUCUUAAAAACCAUGAGUACCAGGGAUUGUUUUUGUCGAGCCAAUUGAAUGUAAAAAAUCUGGCCAGAAUACCUUCAUUGUAUAAUUAGUGUCACUAAUGAGUUUGCCAGCAGAAAUACUAGUGCAUUCUUCAUUACAAAGUUGCUUAGACAUGUUGAAGGUGUUUAUAUAAGGUAUAUGGAUAAAAGCCUCAUGUAAAGUAUGAAAACCGUGAAUCUCAUACAUCUCUCCUGGGUGGGCAAGGAGUUGAAUGUAGAAUUGUACUAGUAUUGUGGAGGAUUAACGCUGCUGUAUGUAAUUUUGGGAGUGAAUAAAAGGCUGUUACUUUGAAACCCUUA